Suricata suricatta (meerkat) is the source of this 1078-nucleotide long non-coding RNA. RefSeq lists it as uncharacterized. NCBI's taxonomy places the organism in Eukaryota, Metazoa, Chordata, Mammalia, Carnivora, Herpestidae. The record is from RefSeq and is a predicted model, not a curated record. The transcript has 4 exons.
CACUGGUCGGAGGGCAUGUGACCUCUGCACCGUUUCUCCCCAGUUUCUAAACCUCCGAGAGCCCCGCGGGGGUCCGCGCCCCGAGGGCGUUUACAAACGGACCGCUGGCGAAGCGCCGCUAGGACAGCACGACGGCUCAGCGUGAGAUCCUUCGGGCCCCGCGGAACCGCCGCCAGCGGAACACAGUGCCCGGGCCCGUGGCCCCUCUGCGGCCUCUCACAGGACGCGCUCGCCGGGUGGCCCGGCGUUCGUCCGGGUGUGGACGGUGACGUAGCUCCCUAUUUUCUGUGGGACGUGGCGGAAAACACCAAGAAUUUGAGAGACGGCGAAUGACGUUACAUCAGCACUCAUCAGGGAAAUGCAAAUUAGGCCCACACUGAGGCCCCUCUUGCCAUGGCCCUCCACGUACUUUCUCUGGUGAGCAGCACUAUUCACAAGGCCAAAAGGUGGAAGAACCCAAAGGUCCACUAACAGAUGAACGGGUAGUCAGAGCAUGGCCUGCCCAUACAGUGGAGCAGUACUCAGCCAGACAACGGGACGGAAUUCUGACGUACGGCGCACUGCAGAAACAGCCAAAACCAUGCUAAGUAAGAGAAGCCAGACACAAGGCCCACACACCGCAUGAUUCUGCCUUGUGUCUGAAACAGACAAAACAGAGGAGCAGCUGCUAAUACCGCACAGGGGUCAUGCCUGAUUACUCUGGAGAAGGUCAGUGGUCCCCGGGAAGCCCCCGCCAUGCAAGUCUGAUGCUGUGCCUGGGCCGGAAGCAAGGAGCACCCCCCACCCCACCCCUGGGGACUGGCCGGGAGGCAGGAGCCCCAACGGCUCAGCAGGCGCCUGAGGAGCACAUGGAAAACUCUCCACAAGCCCAGUGCCCGUCAGGGGCCCUGGGCUGCCAGGCCCGGUGCGUCCUCUGGCUGGGAGAGUGCGGCCACCGCGCUCCAGUGUCGUCGCUGGCUUGGGGUCACCUGAGCAGUUUCCUACUCGUUGGUACUGUCCUCCUGUUUUAAGAUGUUGUUUCCACCAACUUCUUCCAGAAAGACAACUUUCCUCCAACAAAUAAAUCACUUGCUUUCAA